This 1344-nucleotide ribosomal RNA is filed under the name uncultured bacterium. RNAcentral's name for it is "16S ribosomal RNA". It matches the Rfam family "Bacterial small subunit ribosomal RNA", at positions 28 to 1378 of the family's 1533-position model. The record is from RNAcentral.
GACGAACGCUGGCGGCGUGCUUAACACAUGCAAGUCGAACGGAAAGGCCCUGCUUUUGUGGGGUGCUCGAGUGGCGAACGGGUGAGUAACACGUGAGUAACCUGCCCUUGACUUUGGGAUAACUUCAGGAAACUGGGGCUAAUACCGGAUAGGAGCUCCUGCUGCAUGGUGGGGGUUGGAAAGUUUCGGCGGUUGGGGAUGGACUCGCGGCUUAUCAGCUUGUUGGUGGGGUAGUGGCUUACCAAGGCUUUGACGGGUAGCCGGCCUGAGAGGGUGACCGGCCACAUUGGGACUGAGAUACGGCCCAGACUCCUACGGGAGGCAGCAGUGGGGAAUAUUGCACAAUGGGCGGAAGCCUGAUGCAGCAACGCCGCGUGCGGGAUGACGGCCUUCGGGUUGUAAACCGCUUUCGCCUGUGACGAAGCGUGAGUGACGGUAAUGGGUAAAGAAGCACCGGCUAACUACGUGCCAGCAGCCGCGGUGAUACGUAGGGUGCGAGCGUUGUCCGGAUUUAUUGGGCGUAAAGGGCUCGUAGGUGGUUGAUCGCGUCGGAAGUGUAAUCUUGGGGCUUAACCCUGAGCGUGCUUUCGAUACGGGUUGACUUGAGGAAGGUAGGGGAGAAUGGAAUUCCUGGUGGAGCGGUGGAAUGCGCAGAUAUCAGGAGGAACACCAGUGGCGAAGGCGGUUCUCUGGGCCUUUCCUGACGCUGAGGAGCCGAAAGCGUGGGGAGCGAACAGGCUUAGAUACCCUGGUAGUCCACGCUGUAAACGGUGGGUACUAGGUGUGGGGUCCAUUCCACGGGUUCCGUGCCGUAGCUAACGCUUUAAGUACCCCGCCUGGGGAGUACGGCCGCAAGGCUAAAACUCAAAGGAAUUGACGGGGCCCCGCACAAGCGGCGGAGCAUGCGGAUUAAUUCGAUGCAACGCGUAGAACCUUACCUGGGUUUGACAUGGAUCGGGAGUGCUCAGAGAUGGGUGUGCCUCUUUUGGGGUCGGUUCACAGGUGGUGCAUGCCUGUCGUCAGCUCGUGUCGUGAGAUGUUGGGUUAAGUCCCGCAACGAGCGCAACCCUUGUUCACUGUUGCCAGCACGUUAUGGUGGGGACUCAGUGGAGACCGCCGGGGUCAACUCGGAGGAAGGUGGGGAUGACGUCAAGUCCUCAUGCCCCUUAUGUCCAGGGCUUCACGCAUGCUACAAUGGCUGGUACAGAGAGUGGCGAGCCUGUGAGGGUGAGCGAAUCUCGGAAAGCCGGUCUCAGUUCGGAUUGGGGUCUGCAACUCGACCUCAUGAAGUCGGAGUCGCUAGUAAUCGCAGAUCAGCAACGCUGCGGUGAAUACGUUCCCGGG